Molecule: transfer RNA, 73 nt
Filed under: Gammaproteobacteria bacterium
Lineage: Bacteria; Pseudomonadati; Pseudomonadota; Gammaproteobacteria
Description: tRNA-Thr
Rfam family: tRNA
About the family: Transfer RNA (tRNA) molecules are approximately 80 nucleotides in length. Their secondary structure includes four short double-helical elements and three loops (D, anti-codon, and T loops). Further hydrogen bonds mediate the characteristic L-shaped molecular structure. tRNAs have two regions of fundamental functional importance: the anti-codon, which is responsible for specific mRNA codon recognition, and the 3' end, to which the tRNAs corresponding amino acid is attached (by aminoacyl-tRNA synthetases). tRNAs cope with the degeneracy of the genetic code in two manners: having more than one tRNA (with a specific anti-codon) for a particular amino acid; and 'wobble' base-pairing, i.e. permitting non-standard base-pairing at the 3rd anti-codon position.
Source: RNAcentral
GCCGGAUUAGCUCAGUUGGUAGAGCGCCCGCCUUGUAAGCGGAUGGUCGGCGGUUCGAAUCCGUCAUCCGGCA